This 301-nucleotide ribosomal RNA is filed under the name uncultured bacterium. RNAcentral describes it as "partial 16S ribosomal RNA". It matches the Rfam family "Bacterial small subunit ribosomal RNA", at positions 509 to 807 of the family's 1533-position model. The record is from RNAcentral.
CAGUAGCCGCGGGAAAACGUAGGGUGCAAGCGUUAAUCGGAAUUACUGGGCGUAAAGCGUGCGCAGGCGGUUUGUUAAGACAGAUGUGAAAUCCCCGGGCUCAACCUGGGAACUGCAUUUGUGACUGGCAAGCUAGAGUCUGGCAGAGGGGGGUGGAAUUCCGCGUGUAGCAGUGAAAUGCGUAGAUAUGCGGAGGAACACCGAUGGCGAAGGCAGCCCCCUGGGCCAACACUGACGCUCAUGCACGAAAGCGUGGGGAGCAAACAGGAUUAGAUACCCCCGUAGUCCCUGUCUCUUAUAC